RNAcentral lists this long non-coding RNA (2295 nucleotides) under Equus caballus (horse). RNAcentral's name for it is "lncRNA (ENSECAG00000037736.3)". Lineage: Eukaryota; Metazoa; Chordata; Mammalia; Perissodactyla; Equidae. The record is from RNAcentral.
GAGCGGCCCCGCCCCCGCGCCGGGCGGAGCUGCGGGAGAAGGCUGGGCGGCCGCCCGUGUGCUGCAGGAGUCUGCUGCUGGGACGUUUCCAUGCCCGCUUCUUCCCUUUAUUCCCUUCUUCAUCUCUUUUAUUUCCCUUUCAUUCCUCCCAUUCUUUCCUUCUCCCUCCUCUUUCCCUUCCUCUUUCCUUCCUUUUCCCUCGCCUUUUCCUUUCUUUCUUCCCUCCCUACAUCCUUCUCUUCCUUUCUUUCCUUCUCUCCCUUCCUCCAUCUCUUCGUCUUUCCCUCUCUCCUUCUUUCUCCCACUUUCCUUCCUCUCUCCUCUCUUUUCUCCCGCCGUUCUGCUUCCUUCCCUUUUAAUUUUUCCCCUUAAAAAAUUGUUUUUAAACUGUUUUGAACUGUGGUAAAAAACAUAAAAUUUAUCAUCUUAACCAUUUUUGUUUUUAAAGAUUUGCUGUGAGCUAACAUCUGUUGCCAGUAUUCUUUUUAAAUUCUUCCUCUUCUCCGCAAAGCCCCCCAGUACAUGGUUGUAUCUUCUAGUUGUGAGUGCCUCUGGUUGUGGCAUGUGGGACGCCGCCUCAAGCGUUGCCUGAUGAGCCGUGCCAUGUCCGCGCCCAGGAUCCCAACUAGCAAAACCCCCUGGAUGGGAAAGCGGAGCAUGAACCCAAACACUUGCCCGCAGGCUGGCCCCCCAUCUGAACCAUUUUUGAGCAUAUGGUUCCGUGGUGUUGAGUACAUUCACAUUGUUGUCAGCCAUCUCCAGAACUCUUCAUCCUGCAGAACAGAAACUCUAGACCUGUUGAAUAACGACAACCAUUUCCCCCUCCUCCCAGCCUCUCGUAACCACGUUCUACUCUUUUUUUCUUCAUUCUUCCUUUUGCCUUUCUGUGCCUUUCUCCCUUUUCCUUUAUCUCUCCUUUUUCUUCCCCUCCCUCUUUCCGUCUUUCUCUUCUUAAAAGCCUGAUGGCCCUGAUUCACCCUUGCCAGCCCUCCACAGCCUCUGCCAGGGGCUGGGCCAGAGGCCUGUCAGCCAGGGCUGUGAGCGCGGGUAGGUGUCUUGGAUAAUUCAUUCACGGAGGAUCACUUAGUCCAACUUGAUGAAGCCUGUAUCCUUCGAGUACUGACAGAAACUGGCAGCACAUACUGAGGCCAUAUUUCCGGAUCAGACAGGGCCAGUUUGAGCAGAUGCAGCAAGAGAAGAAGUCUGGCUAAGUUUCUGUGGGUGUCUCCAGUAGAGCUGCUGGUGACCCGUCUUGCUUUCAGGGGUGCAGUGAGGUGAAAGGUCGCAGAACUGGUGCUUUGCAAAACCAGCUGUGUCCUGGUCUACUGGCUGACCCUAUGCUAUCCUGCUUCUCAUUGAUUCUGGAGGAUAGAGACCCACAGAAAGGCAGAACGUGGCCUGGGGCCCCAGCCCCUCAGGCAGGACGGCCACUUUAUCCAGAGGCGCCUUCCUUCCUGGGCCUUCCAAGACACCUGGCUGCAAGGACACAGUGAAGAGGGGAAAAGAAUUUCAAGAGCAUUCUAAGAGCCGCCUCCGUUCUCUUACCGUGCAGGGAAGGAGCAUGUACUCAAAGAUCCGACCAGGAAGAAAGAUUUGAUCUCCCGGCAGGAUCCACUUCCCAUGGCGACGCCUUCUUGAGUCGAAGCUCUGGUAUGAAAUCUUUUUGGUGAAUGCCUUGGAGGUUUGGGUUCAGUGGACUUUGACUGCGUGUCUCCAGAAAGCUCAGCACAUGCCUCCUGAAGCAGAUAUCCAGCCGGCUGAAGCUUGCUGCCGUGGAACCAAUCGUGAGACCGUUGCACAGUGGUGUCUGCGUGAGAUCAGUGCAAUACCGUGAAGAGUCCGCUUGAUUUGGGGGAAGUGCUCGCACAGCAGUCAAGAGGUCUAGAUGUGAGCCUGACUCUGCCACUAAAGCUGUGUGACAUUGUCUAAGUGUCUGCCUCUCUCUGGGGCUCGAUUUCUUUCUCUGUGUAGUGAGGGUGGGGUCAGACAAAUGCUGAGGAGCUUUCUAGCACUGACCUUCAAUGAUUCUUGUAGGCAGACACUGUGACACAUGUGUCUUGGCUCCCGUAUCCCCAACCCAGGACCUGGUGUAGCACCAGAAACAAAAUAGGUACUAAGCAAAUGCUUAUUAGAUGCACAGCUAAAGGAAUUGCUCAGGAGAUAAAUGACAAUAACACCCCAGCUCCCACAGAUGCAUAGCAUUGAAGGGAUCAACACAUCAUUUAAGGAAAGUUUUUAUUUUUAUCAGAGUUAUAGAUAGUUUAAAGAGUCACAUAACUCCAUAAGAUUGACAAU